AGAACAAGCUACCUGCAGUCCUGGGAAAGCAAUUUGACAGUAUCAGUCUUCAAAAACCCAUGUUGACGAGGGAUAGCCUCCUGUCUGUCUGUUAAGAAGGAACGAUGUAAGAGAGGUCAUAGGCAGUGGCACAGGGGAAAACACAAAGACAGAGGGAAGAGAUGAAUGAGGCCGAAAGAUCAAGGUAGAGAGCAAGGAGAAAGCAGCGUAUGACCCUGUUCAUGCAGCCAGGGCUUGACCCAAUUAUUGACCAUCCACAGGACAGGAUACUCAGAGGAUGCUAACUGGCUGCAGCACUGCCAAAACCAGCACGCCCUCGCUGCACUCACACAUUUAAGGCCAUGGCUGGACUAUGAAAGAGACAGAUGGGCCUGCAGUCAGAGAGGGGGUGAAGGGUGGGCAUCAUCAGCGGAGACAAAGUGGGUUUACAAGAGGUUACAAAUAAAACAAGCUGAGGACAUGAA
Molecule: long non-coding RNA, 464 nt
Organism: Notolabrus celidotus (New Zealand spotty)
Lineage: Eukaryota; Metazoa; Chordata; Actinopteri; Labriformes; Labridae
Exons: 2
Source: RefSeq, a predicted model, not a curated record